AGAUAAAAAAAUAGAAGAACUAUACAAUGAAGAGACAAAAACAUAUUUUAAAAAAAAAAAAUAUUGGUUUAAAGAAUAUUAUAAUGCCUAAACAACUAGCUAUUUUUAUUAAUUAUUUAGGUAGAAAUGCUUAUUUACUUAAUCCAAAGCAAUUAGAAAAUAUUUUUACAUUAGCUAUAAGAUAUAUAAGUAUAACGAAUUUUAAUUAUUUCACAUCUAAUGAUAUGAUACAUUUUUUACAAGGUAUAUUAAAUUUUAUUCAAAUAUUAAAUAAUGUCCCAAAAUAUUAUGAAUACGUUCAUAAAAUAUUAACAUCUUUAUGUCAUAUAAUUGAGGAUUCGUUCUUAAAUUGGAAAUAUUCGAAUAUAUGUCAACUGAUAUAUUUAUUAGCGAAAUUUAAAUAUAUUCAUAAAAACAUAUACAAUAAAUUUGAUGAGUUUUUAAGUCGUAUUAAGUUCCCUGAUUAUGUUUAUCAGAAAGCUAGUAAGUUGUUUAUGUCUGGUAGUGUUACUGCUAGUGAUAAUAAUGAAAGGGGGUUUACAUUAGAUGGGGACAGACUAAAAGGAGAAAAAUUAUACAAUACAAUAUUUGAAAAAAAUAUAAGUAAAAAUAUGAACAUUAAUAUUAAUGAAAUAAAAUAUGACAACUUAGGAUCAGCUAUGUGGGCAAUGACAACAGUGAAUAAACAAUUGAUAAAAAAAAAACAUUAUUUACAUUUUUUUUAUUUUUUUUCUAUAUAUUUUGGUUUACAUAUGCGUUGGUAUUUAUCUGAACAGGUUGGUAGUGGUGGCAGUGGUAGUGGUAUUGGUAGUGGUAGUGGUAGCAGUGGUAGUGGUAGCAGUGGUAGUGGUAGUGGUAGUGAUAGUGGUAGCAGAUGUAGUGAUAGUGGUAGCAGUGGUAGUGGUAGCAGUGGUAGCAGUAGAAGUAACAUACGGGGUGGUAAGGAUUUCCAGUUUGUGCAAAACCAUAGAAACUACUUUAGAAUGCCGUUAAACACUAUGACUAUCAGUAUAUAUAUAAAUACAUAUGCCAAAAAAAUAAAAAUAGGUUUUUAUUUUUUAUUCGAAAUUAUUAAUAAUAAUAAUUCUAUUAUAGACCUUUUUUCUAUGAAAGAAUUAUCGUAUAUGUUAUACGCAUUAGCACAUGUUAGUAAGGUAACGUUGAAUGAUACUGUGUUUGUUGCACCGAUGAGAGUAAGAUGGGACGAUGUAACAGAGGGUGAUAUUAAAAAUAGUACCGAAAGUGACGCAGUAAAUGGUGUAGGAAAUAAUAUCGUAAGUUCCCUUGAAAGUGAUAAAGAUAUGGUAGGUAGUAGUGGGAAGGAAGAUGUCACAGAGUCAAAACAAGAAUUGAAACAAGAAUUGAAACUAUUUGACGAAUUUUUAAAUAAAGAAAUUUUAUUAUGGACAGAUGAGCUUAAAAUAUUAUUUUCGAAUACACAAAAUAUAUUAAAUAAAUCGGAAGAAGUAAAUCCAAG
RNAcentral lists this long non-coding RNA (1477 nucleotides) under Piliocolobus tephrosceles (Ugandan red Colobus). RNAcentral's name for it is "lncRNA (ENSPTEG00000007985.1)". The record is from RNAcentral. Lineage: Eukaryota; Metazoa; Chordata; Mammalia; Primates; Cercopithecidae.